Non-coding RNA from Microcebus murinus (gray mouse lemur), 950 nucleotides. Lineage: Eukaryota; Metazoa; Chordata; Mammalia; Primates; Cheirogaleidae. The record is from RefSeq and is a predicted model, not a curated record.
UGGAGGCUCUGGCAGCCUGAGGGGCAGCCCCUGUGGUGGGGAAAUGGCAGGGAGUUCUCUGUGACAGCUGGACUUACAAUGGGGGCAUUGUUCCUUCACUUUGAUAUAUCUGUUCCCUGAAGGGUGGAGGGCAGAGAAAGAGAACUGAGUCCAGGAGCACCUGCCAAGGCUGAGAGAGGAAGCUGUGAGUGUCCAUCUAGAGUUUGACAUUCAACCACUGUGGGAAAAGAAGAAGAGAAAACCACAAAAAGCGAUCAACCCUGCUGAAAACAAAAGCUUGCCAUGGCUUCGCAGCAGCCAGGGGACUCACAGGAAAGGCUAUUUUUGUCUUCCCUGCUGCCUUGGACGAUAACAAAGUAGUUCAUGUCUGCUCAGAAGCCACCAGGGACAGACACUGUGCAAAGCAUUCAUGGCUACGAGGGAGACAAGCAGAUGCCACAGGGAAAGGCUGUCUCGUGUGGAGCAGCCUCGUCUGCUAUUCUGGGGUGGAUUUGGGGCUUCUCUUAAAAUAGAACAAUAAACGUGCAGGUCUAGACUAAGCAGCAAUUUUGGUUUUAGGGAAAGCCGAUACCUAGAAGGCUGAGAAUAACCCUGAGAAAGUUUGUUUUCAACAAUUUGGGCUCAAUUAGGAAGGAAAAGUGCCUGGUAAGGAUCGAAGACACAAUCUAAACCAGGAGUAGGCUUUUGGAGCGUUCAUGAGGGGACCCUCCUACAAAUUCCCAGACUGCAAACACUAGCAACAUUGUACUGCGUGUGGCAUAAAGAGGUGCAGCCUUAACUCUUUUGAAAGAAGUGUCUCUAGUGCCCUAACACCAGGGAAAAUCUACCCUGGUUAUGUGUCCCACUUCUCAUCACCUGCAUUGCUUCUCUCUGCCAAUCAUCACAAGGAAAACUGAUGGCAACCAGAAAGACGUCAUGGUGUUCUCCAGCUUUUAGUCACCUAAUCCAAA